AAGCUCGUAGUUGAAUUUCGGGAUCAAUUUGUCGGUCGUGCCUCGGUACGUACUGGCAUUAUUGGUUUCUACCUUCUGAAGAACCUUGAUGUCAUUAAUUUGGUGUCUUGGGGAAUCAGGACUGUUACUUUGAAAAAAUUAGAGUGUUUAAAGCAGGCAUACGCUUGAAUACAUUAGCAUGGAAUAAUGAAAUAGGACGUUUGAUUCUAUUUUGUUGGUUUCUAGGAUCGACGUAAUGAUUAAUAGGGAUAGUUGGGGGCAUUAGUAUUCAAUUGUCAGAGGUGAAAUUCUUGGAUUUAUUGAAGACUAACUACUGCGAAAGCAUUUGCCAAGGAUGUUUUCAUUAAUCAAGAACGAAAGUUAGGGGAUCGAAGACGAUCAGAUACCGUCGUAGUCUUAACCAUAAACUAUGCCGACUAGGGAUCGGAUGAUGUUAUUUUUAAUGACUCAUUCGGCGCCUUACGGGAAACCAAAGUGUUUGGGUUCCGGGGGGAGUAUGGUUGCAAGGCUGAAACUUAAAGGAAUUGACGGAAGGGCACCACCAGGGGUGGAGCCUGCGGCUUAAUUUGACUCAACACGGGGAAA
RNAcentral lists this ribosomal RNA (585 nucleotides) under uncultured Glomus. Its description in RNAcentral is "SSU rRNA". It matches the Rfam family "Eukaryotic small subunit ribosomal RNA", at positions 624 to 1213 of the family's 1831-position model. Lineage: Eukaryota; Fungi; Glomeromycota; Glomeromycetes; Glomerales; Glomeraceae. The record is from RNAcentral.